AUGCAUCCACUGAUAGACCUGAAGCAGGCUGCAUUGGCUUCUAGGUUUGCAAAGAGAUGCUAAACUAAACUUUCCUCUUGCUUUCUGACUGCUCUUCUUACUUGGCAGCCCAGCUUGAAUUGGGGAAUACAUAA
Non-coding RNA from Nerophis lumbriciformis (worm pipefish), 134 nucleotides. NCBI's taxonomy places the organism in Eukaryota, Metazoa, Chordata, Actinopteri, Syngnathiformes, Syngnathidae. The record is from RefSeq and is a predicted model, not a curated record.